RNAcentral lists this ribosomal RNA (185 nucleotides) under uncultured bacterium. RNAcentral describes it as "partial 16S ribosomal RNA". It matches the Rfam family "Bacterial small subunit ribosomal RNA", at positions 1317 to 1500 of the family's 1533-position model. The record is from RNAcentral.
UGCGUGAAGUCGGAAUCGCUAGUAAUCGCGGAUCAGCAUGCCGCGGUGAAUACGUUUCCCGGGCCUUGUACACACCGCCCGUCACACCAUGAGAGUCGGGAACACCCGAAGUCCGUAGCCUAACCGCAAGGAGGGCGCGGCCGAAGGUGGGUUCGAUAAUUGGGGUGAAGUCGUAACAAGGUAGC